GACGAACGCUGGCGGCGUGCCUAACACAUGCAAGUCGAGCGGAGACAGUGAGUAGCUUGCUAUGAGCUGUUUUAGCGGCGGACGGGUGAGUAACGCGUGAGCAACCUUUUCCCGACAGGGGAAUAACACACCGAAAGGUGUACUAAUACCGCAUAAGACCACGGGAUCACAUGGUUUUGAGGUAAAAGAUUUAUCGGUUUGGGGUGGGCUCGCGUCCGAUUAGGUAGUUGGUGAGGUAACGGCCCACCAAGCCGACGAUCGGUAGCCGACCUGAGAGGGUGAUUGGCCACAUUGGGACUGAGACCCGGCCCCAACUCCUACGGGAGGCAGCAGUGGGGAAUAUUGGGCAAUGGGGGGAACCCUGACCCAGCAACGCCGCGUGGAGGAAGAAGGUUUUCGGAUUGUAAACUCCUGUCCUUGGAGACGAGUAGAAGACGGUAUCCAAGGAGGAAGCCCCGGCUAACUACGUG
This 470-nucleotide ribosomal RNA is filed under the name uncultured bacterium. RNAcentral's name for it is "bacterial SSU rRNA". It matches the Rfam family "Bacterial small subunit ribosomal RNA", at positions 28 to 507 of the family's 1533-position model. The record is from RNAcentral.